Long non-coding RNA from Ochotona curzoniae (black-lipped pika), 1327 nucleotides. RefSeq lists it as uncharacterized. The transcript has 3 exons. The record is from RefSeq and is a predicted model, not a curated record. Lineage: Eukaryota; Metazoa; Chordata; Mammalia; Lagomorpha; Ochotonidae.
AAACUGCACUUACUGUGCUGGUGCUGACUUCAGUAGGAAAGGUGUGAAAACUUUAAGCAGCCACAGGAGCUUCCCUUUACUGGCUCCUCACUGAUCUUUCUCUUUACCCCGCUCACCUGGCCCUCUUUCAGGCCUCGCCUCCCAAAGCCUGCCUGCUCCGCUGCCCCAAUCCUGCGGUCGGGGGCCUCCUGGAGGCUGAGCCCUGCGUUUUAGAGACCCCCGUGGUGCACUUGUAGCUGCCGUACUGCGGAGCUAAGCUGCAGAGCGCGGCUGAGAGCGUCGGGAGGGCUUUGACACCAGCAGUAGUCACCGGGGCGCGGUUAUCCUUCUCUUUAAAACACUUCACUGGCUUGUUGGGAAGGGAAGAGCGCAUUUUGGAUCCAGCGAGCACUUCUUCGCCAGGAUUGCUGGUUUGUGGAAACAACCCCCUUUCUCCUGUGACUGGCUAUCUAGAGGUCAAAAAUGAGUCACAUUCUCAGGCAUAGAUCGGAGGGUGGGUCCACUUCUGGAGGCUAAUGCGUAUCUUACCAGUUAUGAGGAAGAUUCUGCUUCUGUGAAGAAGGUGAAAGGGGAAAUAACUCUUGAGGCAAAGAAUGGUGUUUGCCACACAGAGAUAUAUCUUUAUACAAACAUGUCUAGUAAAAUAAGUCCUUACAGAGAGAUUCCAAUAUGUUCUGCUCCUUAUUACCUUGGUAAAUGUAGACCAUAAGACAGUGAACACUUAACACCUAUCAGCUACUUAAUGCAAAUGGUGUCAUUUUUGAUACAACUUGUGUAGUUCCAACUUUGUGUUCAGUUUUGACAUGUGGCAAAGGACAGGCCAGAGACAGGGUGGGGAUGAGGAUUAGGUCAGGCACAAAAUGAGUUUUGAAAAGAUCCUGGGAAGUCCUCUUAGGUGUCUGCACAUAUCCCAACCUAGACCAACAGUAUGGAAAAAGAAGGCUUCUUCUCUUACUAGUGUGUUGGAGGACACUGUUUUCAGUGUGGGGUUUCUUAGAUUUUCAUGCAGGAAGGUGGAUGUCUAGGAAAUCUACAAUUUGAAAUCUAUGUGGAGAGAAUCUGUGGUGAAUGUUGAUAAGAAGGAGUGGUGAACUUGCUCCCUCUUGCUUGAUGUUUACUCGUCCUCUGGGGUGUGGUUCAUGAAUUCCCACAACCUGCUAAUGGAUGAUGUUAGACUCGGUUCCCAUCAGGCAAAGCGCUCUCUCUCUCUCAGCUUUUAAAAUCAACCAGAAAUUGAAAGAGUGGCAAUGGGGGUGACUCUAUAGGGGACGUUGGUGUUGAAGUUCAACCGUUUCCUUUUUGUGGGUGUGGGAGAGAAAGAUUUCUG